Molecule: unclassified non-coding RNA, 3179 nt
Filed under: Mizuhopecten yessoensis (Yesso scallop)
Lineage: Eukaryota; Metazoa; Mollusca; Bivalvia; Pectinida; Pectinidae
Description: uncharacterized LOC110462625, transcript variant X2
Source: RNAcentral
CCGGCCCACUGGCUACUCAUGCAAUAGUGCUACCCAUAUUGAUAAUGUAGUAAUUGAUUUUUCAUAUGAUUCCGGGACAUAGCCAAUCUGUUGGGCAUAAGUAGGGGAUGAUUGUUAGGGAUCUCCGACUUCAGUAGAUACAGUAAGAUCUACCUGUGACUAAAUUGUGACUUGUUAAUUCAUUACUCUCUUGGAUUAAAUAUCAGUCUUACAGACAUUAUGAUAAUAAGUGAAAGCUGACAAACGUGUUCACUGGGUGAUGACAGAGUCCGAUAUUCUGACAUAGAUGUAACCAGUCAAUGCCAGCUCAACAGAUCGCCUCCUAGUGAAUUGACCAAUAUGGAUCGAUGUGAUGAAUGAAAUGUGUCUAUUUCUAUGGGAGGCCACCAUGCAGUUUUGCAGGUGAUGUAUAGGUUACAAUGAAUAAAAACAAUGGAAGAGGGAGCUGUCAGGAAACCCUCUGGACGUGGCCAGCGUGACAAGUCGAGGAAGCUUUCUGGACGUGGCCAACAUGAAAGGGGUAGGAAAGUGUUGGGUCCUGGAAGAGUAGUGUGCUGGGGCUGUAAUGAGUUUGGUCAGAAUUCUAAACAAGCCAAGGAUGAUGUCGCCUUUAAAGAUGGUCUCCUGAGCCAUUUCAGCAGUGACCUUGGUGGUCAAGUGAAAGUCGCUGCCUGUGGAGCCAGUCACACUCUUGUCGUUACAGAUUCCAAUGAGAUCUAUGCCUGGGGGAAUGGCAACAGUGGACAACUUGGAACUUGGGACAUGGAAAGUAGCUGUGAGCCGAGACGAAUCGAGUUGGUGGGUAUGCCCCCAGAUACUGUGGUGUCUGACCGUCUCCAGGUGAUACAGAACAAGUUGACCCAGAGGGCGGGGCGUCCAGAGGUGGUGGGUGUGGCCUGUGGAGGGAGACACUCAAUGGUUGUCUUUAGCAACGGGCAGGUAUACAGCUUUGGAAACAACUUCUACGCCCAGCUUGGCUACAACUUCAGGGAAAAAAACUACAAAGAAAACCAGAUAAAGCCGUACCUGCUUAAGUCCCUGAUUGGCAGACCUGUGUCUGAGGUAGCUUGUGGAGACAAGCACUCCAUCUUCAGAUUUCAGUCUGGCUCCAUCGCUUGUGUCGGGUGCAAUUCCACUGGACAGAUAGGGACAGGUGACAGAGAGGAAGCACUAGUGCCAAAGAUCCUCGAGAUGACUGGUCCAAUCACACAUGUGGCAUGUGGCUCCAACCAUAGUCUAGCAAUUUCAGACAAAGGCGAGGUGUAUAUCUGGGGCUACGGAAAGGCAUGUGGAAAUAAAUCCUCUGAUGUGUUGUCUCCUGUUCUCAUGGAAACUGGAAGAAGCAAGGUCACGAAGGUCGCUGGUGGAAUGUAUCACAGCAUGGCACUUACAGCCUCUGGAAAUAUCUACACCUGGGGAGCUGGAUCAGAUGGGCAACUAGGACACGGUGACCAAGUUUUGUUUCUGUCGGAACCUCAGCGACUAAAAAAUCACCAUCUUAGAGGAAAGAUCAUACACAUAUCUUCUGGAGAGUCGUUCUCUGCUGCAGUUACAGAAAAUGGCCGCCUGUAUAUGUGGGGUAAGAACAGUCACACGAUCCAUCCAGAUGAAGCUUCCGGUCAUCGUGUCUGGGAGCCACACUGUGUGAACUCCAGGGGUCAACCAGUACAAUAUAUUACCUGUGGGUCGUGGCAUGCUGUCAGCAUCACUGGUUCUCCAGAGUUUAUAAGGAGAGGCAGUGUUGACAAGUUGGAGUUUUCGGAUUCCGUGUGUUUGGAUCAUUCCGAGGGGUCUGUAGAGGAUUCGGCAGACAUAGAUCAUUGUGAUUCUGUGAUUACACCAGAGGACUUAGGAAACACAAACCAGGACCUGUUUACAGAGACCACAGACGAAGUGGGAGUGUUUCUGCCCAGUCUGAGCCUGCGGCGGGACAUGACUGCAGUAGACAGGGACAAAACCAAGCUCAGUCUAGCAGAAUUUUAUGCACCCACACCAGACAUCCCUCGUGAACCAGCAAUGCAUGAAGAUGAGGACACAGAACAGGUCGCAGACAUUGGCAACAUACCUGUGAGUGCACGAUCUACUAAGUUAGUGGUUCAGGUUCCGAUGAACAGUGAAAAAAAAGAACCGCAGAUGGCUGCUCAACACAGGUGUGAUGUGGCUACCUCACCCAUCCCCUUCAGCAGCUCUGAGUCGGAGAGUGCUGCCCAGGAAUAUGUCAGUCCAGCGCCCACCAAGGUGGACAGCGAGCGGACCAUACCGCAGGACUUGUCGGAGAGUCAAGAAGCACGGGAGGACCGUGAAUUCCGUGCCAAGAUACCAAAAACUUACAACAGGGAAGACAUGACCAAAAUGCAUGCGCUCCUUAACUACGAACGUCAGAAAACAUGUGGGAUAAAGCAUCCCCCUUCUGUUGUGCAAAUCAGUCGAACUUCUGCGGAUAGCUUUAUGCUGCCUAGGGAAAAUACAGGUUUUACUAGUAAACAAAUUGACUUUGCCGAAAUGGAACAUUUAAGAUCUAGAGGCAAUAAUAAAUCUCCUGAAAAAAUUCUCAAAAUUCAAGGGAAAUCCACUACAGAUGGUGGAGUGGUUAGAUUGUUUGAAUCACCAUAUACAAGUAGAUCCUACACUGAGGAUGGUCCUAGUAGAAUACAGGCUAUAGACCAUAGGAACUCUCCCUACAGCCGAGGUGGCGACAAUUUUCUUCAUAAAUUCCCUGAUGGCCGAUUCAUGGACAGUCCUGCCUUACGGUCAGGUCGUCAUAGUGAGACCACGAUUAUUAACCUAUCUCAGUUUGAGCGAGCGGCCAGUAAUUAUGCUGUGUUGGUUUCUCGUGCGUCAGAAAGUUCUCUGGCUGAUUACGCUCGGAGUUGGGCUGCUCCAGAGACUUCUGAUGAUAGUCGGCUGUCCCAGGCCAAGUCAUACGUCAAACAUCCUCAGCCCAUCAAGAACAGUAUCCCUAACAAGAACAACAAAGCCAACUUCAGGGUCAUAGAAAUCGUCAACUCAUUCUGUAGGGACGGUCAUCGACUCAAUUUGUGGGGAUGGUCAUAGUUUUCCAACUGGACUGACCUUGUAGGGAUGACCUUAGAUGUCAUCAACACUUUUGAACUACAAGAUUUCUAGCUUUAUUCGCCGACGGAAGUUACAGAUAUCGCGGUCAAACACUGUGGUGGCAG